Molecule: ribosomal RNA, 464 nt
Filed under: uncultured bacterium
Lineage: Bacteria
Description: bacterial SSU rRNA
Rfam family: Bacterial small subunit ribosomal RNA
Source: RNAcentral
CCUGAUUGACGAUGGAUCACAGUGAUGGCGACGGGUGAGUAACACGUAGGUACCUGCCCCGGGAGCGGGGGAUAACAUUUGGAAACAGAUGCUAAUACCGCAUACAAAAAGCCACAUGGCUUUUGUUUGAAAGAUGGCUUUGGCUAUCACUCUGGGAUGGACCUGCGGUGCAUUAGCUAGUUGGUAAGGUAACGGCUUACCAAGGCGAUGAUGCAUAGCCGAGUUGAGAGACUGAUCGGCCACAAUGGAACUGAGACACGGUCCCAUACUCCUACGGGAGGCAGCAGUAGGGAAUCUUCCACAAUGGGGCGCAAGCCUGAUGGAGCAACACCGCGUGAGUGAAGAAGGGUUUCGGCUCGUAAAGCUCUGUUGUUGGAGAAGAACGUGCGUGAGAGUAACUGUUCACGCAGUGACGGUAUCCAACCAGAAAGUCACGGCUAACUACGUGCCAGCAGCCGCGGUAA